This is a long non-coding RNA of Lolium rigidum, 609 nucleotides long. RefSeq lists it as uncharacterized. The transcript is spliced from 3 exons. The record is from RefSeq and is a predicted model, not a curated record. Lineage: Eukaryota; Viridiplantae; Streptophyta; Magnoliopsida; Poales; Poaceae.
UGCAACAUCCUGCCCGCCGCCGCCUCAUCCAGUCAUCCUCCUGCCCUGCUGCAGCAUCACCCCUCCACCGCAUCCUCUCUGCCUAGCUGCCUCAGUCCUCCGAUCCACUCAUCGCAGCCAGGUCGGACGCGGCCAUCUCCUCAUCCCACCGGAUCCCGGCCGCCGCCGAUCUCUUCACUGGCAGGAUUGGAUCUGACAGCCAAAACACCAGUAUCGUAAUCGGCGGCUGCUGCUCUCGUUGCCCACGGGAUCGGACUCCACUUCAUCAACUCACCAGGAAGAUAUGGCUCAGCAAGUUUGAUGAUUUUCUUGUGCUUUGUCCGUCGCUGAAGAAGCGGUGUCAUUUUGUUUGCUUCAAAAUGCAUCUGUAGAUGUUACAAAAAAUGAGAGCAGAUGAUGAGGGCGUGAUGGUGGCUCGUUGGCAAUACCUUGUCAACCUUGUAACUGAACUAGUACUACAUGUGAAGGUUGUGCCACCCCGGAAACCACCCAGGACCUCUCCGCCGAUGCUGCCAAUACCCCACGCCCCUCCGCCUUCCUCGCUAGCGCCGACGGCCAGCUCCGUGGUGCCGCCGCGAAAGAUAGGAAGAACAAAACAGCUCAACUGAC